This 254-nucleotide ribosomal RNA is filed under the name uncultured bacterium. RNAcentral's name for it is "partial 16S ribosomal RNA". It matches the Rfam family "Bacterial small subunit ribosomal RNA", at positions 524 to 776 of the family's 1533-position model. The record is from RNAcentral.
UACGUAGGGUGCAAGCGUUUGUCCGGAAUUAUUGGGCGUAAAGAGCUCGUAGGCGGUCUGUCGCGUCGAAUGUGAAAACCCGGGGCUCAACUCCGGGCCUGCAUUCGAUACGGGCAGACUAGAGUUCGGUAGGGGAGUCUGGAAUUCCUGGUGUAGCGGUGAAAUGCGCAGAUAUCAGGAGGAACACCGGUGGCGAAGGCGGAUCUCUGGGCCAUUACUGACGCUGAGGAGCGAAAGCGUGGGGAGCGAACAGG